This 460-nucleotide ribosomal RNA is filed under the name uncultured bacterium. RNAcentral describes it as "partial 16S ribosomal RNA". It matches the Rfam family "Bacterial small subunit ribosomal RNA", at positions 338 to 795 of the family's 1533-position model. The record is from RNAcentral.
CCUACGGGAGGCAGCAGUGAGGAAUAUUGGUCAAUGGACGAGAGUCUGAACCAGCCAAGUAGCGUGAAGGAUGACUGCCCUAUGGGUUGUAAACUUCUUUUAUAAAGGAAUAAAACGAGGCACGUGUGCCUUUUUGCAUGUACUUUAUGAAUAAGGAUCGGCUAACUCCGUGCCAGCAGCCGCGGUAAUACGGAGGAUCCGAGCGUUAUCCGGAUUUAUUGGGUUUAAAGGGAGCGUAGAUGGGUUGUUAAGUCAGUUGUGAAAGUUUGCGGCUCAACCGGAAAAUUGCAAUUGAUACUGGCAGUCUUGAGUACAGUUGAGGUAGGCAGAAUUCGUGGUGUAGCGGUGAAAUGCUUAGAUAUCACGAAGAACCCCGAUUGCGAAGGCAGCUUACUAAACUGUGACUGACAUUGAUGCUCGAAAGUGUGGGUAGCAAACAGGAUUAGAUACCCCUGUAGUC